RNAcentral lists this ribosomal RNA (441 nucleotides) under uncultured bacterium. RNAcentral describes it as "partial 16S ribosomal RNA". It matches the Rfam family "Bacterial small subunit ribosomal RNA", at positions 338 to 795 of the family's 1533-position model. The record is from RNAcentral.
CCUACGUGUGGCAGCAGUGGGGAAUAUUGCACAAUGGGGGAAACCCUGAUGCAGCGACGCCGCGUGAGCGAGGAAGUAUUUCGGUAUGUAAAGCUCUAUCAGCAGGGACGAAAAAAGACGGUACCUGACUAAGAAGCCCCGGCUAACUACGUGCCAGCAGCCGCGGUAAUACGUAGGGGGCAAGCGUUAUCCGGAUUUACUGGGUGUAAAGGGAGCGUAGACGGCAAGGCAAGCCAGAAGUGAAAGGGCAGGGCUCAACCCUUUACAUGUUUUUGGAACUGUAUGGCUGGAGUGCAGGAGAGGUAAGUGGAAUUCCUAGUGUAGCGGUGAAAUGCGUAGAUAUUAGGAGGAACACCAGUGGCGAAGGCGGCUUACUGGACUGUAACUGACGUUGAGGCUCGAAAGCGUGGGGAGCAAACAGGAUUAGAUACCCUGGUAGUC